RNAcentral lists this ribosomal RNA (467 nucleotides) under uncultured bacterium. RNAcentral's name for it is "partial 16S ribosomal RNA". It matches the Rfam family "Bacterial small subunit ribosomal RNA", at positions 28 to 507 of the family's 1533-position model. The record is from RNAcentral.
GACGAACGCUGGCGGCGUGCUUAACACAUGCAAGUCGAACGGAAAGGCCCUGCUUUUGUGGGGUGCUCAAGUGGCGAACGGGUGAGUAACACGUGAGUAACCUGCCCUUGACUUUGGGAUAACUUCAGGAAACUGGGGCUAAUACCGGAUAGGAGCUCCUGCUGCAUGGUGGGGGUUGGAAAGUUUCGGCGGUUGGGGAUGGACUCGCGGCUUAUCAGCUUGUUGGUGGGGUAGUGGCUUACCAAGGCUUUGACGGGUAGCCGGCCUGAGAGGGUGACCGGCCACAUUGGGACUGGGAAACGGCCAGACUCCUACGGGAGGCAGCAGUGGGGAAUAUUGCACAAUGGGCGGAAGCCUGACGCAGCAACGCCGCGUGCGGGAUGACGGCCUUCGGGUUGUAAACCGCUUUCGCCUGUGACGAAGCGUGAGUGACGGUAAUGGGUAAAGAAGCACCGGCUAACUACGUG